GGACCCGCACAAGUAGUGGAGCAUGUGGUUUAAUUCGAAGAUACGCGCAGAACCUUACCAACACUUGACAUGUUCGUCGCGACUUUAAGAGAUUAAAGUUUUCGGUUCGGCCGGACGAAACACAGGUGCUGCAUGGCUGUCGUCAGCUCGUGUCGUGAGAUGUUGGUUAAGUCCCGCAACGAGCGCAACCCUCACUUUUAGUUGCCAUCAUUAAGUUGGGCACUCUGAAAGAACUGCCAGUGAUAAGCUGGAGGAAGGUGGGGAUGACGUCAAGUCCUCAUGGCCCUUACGUGUUGGGCUACACACGUGCUACAAUGGUAUCUACAACAGGAAGCAAAACAGCGAUGUUAAG
Molecule: ribosomal RNA, 352 nt
Filed under: uncultured bacterium
Lineage: Bacteria
Description: bacterial SSU rRNA
Rfam family: Bacterial small subunit ribosomal RNA
Source: RNAcentral